UACAGAGGUGCCAAGCGUUAGGCGGAAUCACUGGGCUUAAAGCGCGUGUAGGUGGACGGGUAAGUAUCUUGUGAAAUCCCACGGCUCAACCGUGGAACUGCUGGAUAUACUGCUUGUCUUGAGGCACUUAGGGGCAGCUGGAACAAAUGGUGGAGCGGUGAAAUGCGUAGAUAUCGUUUGGAACGCCAACGGUGAAAACAGACAGCUGGGAGUGUGCUGACGCUGAGACACGAAAGCCAGGGGAGCGAACGGG
RNAcentral lists this ribosomal RNA (253 nucleotides) under uncultured bacterium. Its description in RNAcentral is "partial 16S ribosomal RNA". It matches the Rfam family "Bacterial small subunit ribosomal RNA", at positions 524 to 776 of the family's 1533-position model. The record is from RNAcentral.